CCUACGGGGGGCAGCAGUGAGGAAUAUUGGUCAAUGGCCGUAAGCCUGAACCAGCCAAGUCGCGUGAAGGAAGAAGGACCUAUGGUUUGUAAACUUCUUUUAUAGGGGAGUAAGGGUAUCAACGUGUCGAUAUUCGCAUGGACCCUAUCAAAAAGGAUCGGCUAACCCCGGGCCAGCAGCCGCGGUAAUACGGUGGAUGCGAGGGUUAUCCGGAUUUAUUGGGUUUAAAGGGUGCGUAGGGUGUUUUUUAAGUCAGCGGUGAAAGUUUGUGGCUCAACCAUAAAAUUGCCGUUGAAACUGGAAGACUUGAGUGUGUUUGAGGAAGGCGGAAUGCGUGGUGUAGCGGUGAAAUGCAUAGAUAUCACGCAGAACUCCGAUUGCGAAGGCAGCUUUCUAAGCCAUAACUGACACUGAGGCACGAAAGCGUGGGGAUCAAACAGGAUUAGAUACCCUAGUAGUC
Molecule: ribosomal RNA, 460 nt
Filed under: uncultured bacterium
Lineage: Bacteria
Description: partial 16S ribosomal RNA
Rfam family: Bacterial small subunit ribosomal RNA
Source: RNAcentral